UGAUGGUGGGGAUUGCCACCUCUUUUGCUCUUCGGAUGAUGUGGCAAGAUUUCCAUCUGAUUCUUGCAAUUAAGUCAUUCUUUUUCUUUUCAGACUGCCUGGUACUUUAAAUUCUUUUAGUUCAUUUGAGACUUGUGUGUCUAUAAUUCUUGCUACACAGAAGUGAGCAUAACAAGGCUACAAUUUUGCUGCUUAAGUAUGCGACAUGGAGAUUCUUAUAGAUUUCCAUUGAGAAACUUCCUCAAUAUUCUUUUUUUUUUACACUGUUGCUUGUUUUCUUGAAUACUGGAUUGUUUUAAAUAUGUAGAAGUUUGCCGUAUGAUAAUCUUGUUAUAUAGAUGUGGAAAAUUCUUCUGACUACUAUAAUAUCAAAGUUUUGUCCAACUGAAGGCCAUAAAGGCUGUUGAUUGAUCUUCAAGUCAAGAAUUUUGUGGAUUUUGAUCUUACUUUCAACAAGUUAUUGUUGCAAAAGUUCUUGCAUCCUUGCCAUACAUUAAAUUACGAACAGAUUGAGUGCUUCUUGAUAGCUGGUCCAAAACAUUCUGGUGUGCAUAGGUUCUGAAGUUGUGGAACAUAGAACAGGGUACUCUCACCUGGAUGAUAUUAUUAUCUUGUGUAGAAAUUUGAGUCUGAUGCAGUCUUAUGUUAACUUGUAUAGCUUUUCUGAGUUGUGAGUAACCUCAGAAUCAUAAAUCAUCAACUGGCUAUGGCUAGUGAGCUAAUCAUUAUGUAUAAUUUCUUGCACAAGUCGCACCUCAGUUGGGUAUGCUAAACAUUUUUUUUUAGAUUUUUAGGAUGUACAUACAGUAAACAUUUUUUUUUCCUCUCCAUGUCAUUAAUUAGUUAUGCUUGAUAUCAUAAAAAAAACACAAGAAUUUGUUGGCUAGGAGAUCUUCAAACCCUACCAGUGGUUUGUUGGUCAGGUUCUGCAGCCAACCUUUUUUCAUUCUGAUCUAACUUGCUUGCAUGAAUGGUUAGCCUGAGAAUAUCUGCAGUGGAUGGCUAUUGAACAUCCUCAGUUAAAGUUUCCGUCACCUGCAUUCUAGCGAUCCAUUGUGCUUUGGUUGCAUUACUAUCAAUCUGAUCAUGAGGAUGAUUCUGAUCCUGAUUAAUAGUGCUUUCAAGCAUAGACAAAUAAUUGGAGCUGUUUUGCAUCAUGUGAUGCUUCCAUGUUGUGGAUGAAGCAUGAUUGACUUGGUAAAUAAUAUUUUUGGAAGGGCUUGGUUCAAGUGUUUUACUGCAUGCAAACUUUUCUCAUUAUGUCCUGUGCAUUUUCUUUUUGGCCAAGCCUUGAUGAACUUUUCAUGCAAAAUUGCUAUAGGGUAAGAUAGAAAGAUUAGUCAUUCUGAUGACAUGCAGGAAGGUAAAGUUCUUCAAGACAUAACAUAAGCAUUAUAUUACUGUGGCAGUUUGAAUUAUGGCGGCUGCAUUCACCUGCAACUUGAUUCACCUGGGGAGAUGGGUUUGUGAGUAAGUCUUUAUGUACAGGUAAAUCUUUACAUUUUCAACUACACUGUUAGGGCAUGGUUUUAUUUCUAUUGACUUCUCACUAAUGUUAUGCAAAUAAUUUAUGUAUAAAACAUUUAUGAUCACGGUUAUCUUGUGUUUAUUUAUACUCGUUCAUUGAUAGUAAUAGAUGAUGAACGUGUAUGCAUAUAACCCUUCUUUGUCAUGUGCAUUUAUUUAUUUCAUCUCAUCUAAUGAUUGAAACUGACGAAUGCAUUCACUUCCACGUAUAUCUUAAUCAGAGAACAAGCUUGGGAAAGCAAAUAUUCCCUUCUAAUAGUUGUUUUUCUCUAGUGUUGGUGGGGUUAGAUCAUGUGGUGAAUUGUAAAUAUUCUUGAAUGAUUCUGCCCUCUAUAUAGCAGUUGAGAUCCCCUUUAUGAAGUGAUUGCCAUCAUGUGCUGGUUAGAACAAGCUCAUGUGUCUUUCUGGUGAUCAAUGCGGCAUAGGCAUGUGAAUAAACAGCAGUAGAGUUCUGGCUUUUCAUUUAUGUUGAUGUACUGGCUGCAAUAAACUCAGGAAACUGCAAGUAAUUAGACUUCAAUGGCUGCCAAAGUGCAAGCAUGUCUCUUUGAGUUUACGAGAAGACUUAAAAGCUCACAGGAGAUUGAUGAACAAAGCUUGGCCAACCAAGACACUGAGCUGUAAACAACAAGCAUAGGGAAGCAAUCAGCAAUGUGGUGGAAUGGCACAAAUCAAGGACUAGAAAAAGGUGAAGAGGAGGCUCCAACAAGAACCAAUGGGUCUCUGGCCUCUUGUUGGGUUGAGAGGUGCCUACAGAUAUAAACAAAUGAGGGGCUUGAUCAGGGAUGAGUCUCAGCUGAAACCAUGGAUCUAAAAGAAUUUUCUAGGGAAAUGGACAUAAAUAACUGAUGCAAUUGCCAAAGUUACUCUAUCUUUGUUUAUAGGUACUGAAGGUGUGAAUGAGCUGGAGUCCAUGGUGAUUGGUGACUGAAAUCUAAUAAACCAUAUCAAGCACAACAUGUGUUUCUCAGUGCCCUGCCCUGCAGGUUUGGUAUCAAUAACUUUUACAAUUCUAAUUUCUAAGUAUAUGAAAAGCAUAGCAGCAAAACUGAUGACUGAUGACUGAUGACUGAUAAUUUUUUUUUGCGCCGUAAUGUAAUCUAAUGUAAUGCAAUGUAAUGACCACAGCUGUGCGGUAGUUGGUCGGACGGUUGUUGCGUGUAGACGAGCAACGGCUGACGAACUACCAGGCGUAUGGGGUGGUGGCUAUAUUCUUUUUGUUAUCUUCUCCUGUGAAGUCUUAUGGCAAUGCAUUGACAUUGUAGUAUUUUAGUACUUGAGAGUUGAGUCUCAUAUUUUGCCAGGAGGCCAUGAUUCUCAAUUUCUCAUCACAUUUGGCUUUUUAGAGUUGACUUGCUGAAUUCUUAUUAGUUUUUAUGACAGUUGUGAAAUUUCUUGAAGGAAACCAACCUUGUUUA
Dioscorea cayenensis subsp. rotundata (Guinea yam) is the source of this 2945-nucleotide long non-coding RNA. RefSeq lists it as uncharacterized. The record is from RefSeq and is a predicted model, not a curated record. NCBI's taxonomy places the organism in Eukaryota, Viridiplantae, Streptophyta, Magnoliopsida, Dioscoreales, Dioscoreaceae. The transcript has 4 exons.